AAAUAUGUACAUGGCAUGUGACACAUGUGCAACAAUAUCAAUUGGUCCAUAAGUCACUUAAGUGAUUAAUAAAAAUAAAUAAAAACAAAAAUCAGAAAAAAUGUGGGCCUUUGGAUCAAAAGACCAAGUCAACAAGAUCUGACGGCCACGGGAUCAUCUUCUUCCUCAAGACAACUCCGGCCGUGAACAGUAACGCCGACGGAAUUCCGGCCACCUCCGGCGGCGACCUCCUCCACGCGCAGCCCAGAAAUUCACGAAAAUGGGGCUACC
This 270-nucleotide long non-coding RNA is filed under the name Lathyrus oleraceus (garden pea). Its description in RNAcentral is "Pisum sativum (pea) long non-coding RNA (PSAT_LNC036755)". Lineage: Eukaryota; Viridiplantae; Streptophyta; Magnoliopsida; Fabales; Fabaceae. The record is from RNAcentral.